GAGUUUGAUCCUGGCUCAGGACGAACGCUGGCGGCGCGCCUAACACAUGCAAGUCGAACGGAGCUUAAAGAGCUUGCUUUUUAAGCUUAGUGGCGAACGGGUGAGUAACGCGUGAGUAACCUGCCCUGGAGUGGGGGACAACAGUUGGAAACGACUGCUAAUACCGCAUAAGCCCACGGAUUCGCAUGGAUCUGAGGGAAAAGGAUUUAUUCGCUUCAGGAUGGACUCGCGUCCAAUUAGCUAGUUGGUGAGGUAACGGCCCACCAAGGCGACGAUUGGUAGCCGGACUGAGAGGUUGAACGGCCACAUUGGGACUGAGACACGGCCCAGACUCCUACGGGAGGCAGCAGUGGGGGAUAUUGCACAAUGGGGGAAACCCUGAUGCAGCGACGCCGCGUGGAGGAAGAAGGUUUUCGGAUUGUAAACUCCUGUCGUUAGGGACGAUAAUGACGGUACCUAACAAGAAAGCACCGGCUAACUACGUGCCAGCCGCCGCGGUAAUUC
This 504-nucleotide ribosomal RNA is filed under the name uncultured bacterium. RNAcentral describes it as "bacterial SSU rRNA". It matches the Rfam family "Bacterial small subunit ribosomal RNA", at positions 9 to 526 of the family's 1533-position model. The record is from RNAcentral.